RNAcentral lists this ribosomal RNA (531 nucleotides) under Coeliccia flavostriata. RNAcentral's name for it is "partial 16S ribosomal RNA". It matches the Rfam family "Bacterial large subunit ribosomal RNA", at positions 1829 to 2619 of the family's 2925-position model. Lineage: Eukaryota; Metazoa; Arthropoda; Insecta; Odonata; Platycnemididae. The record is from RNAcentral.
GUCCUCAUGUAUUUUUAUGAGGUCUGACCUGCCCAGUGAAUAAUAUUUAACGGCCGCGGUAUUUUGACCGUGCAAAGGUAGCAUAAUCAUUAGCCUUUUAAUAGGAGGCUGGAAUGAAUGGUUUUACGAAUCAUUAACUGUCUCAUUUAUAUAAUUUGUAAUUUAAUUUUUAAGUUAAAAAGCUUAGAUUUUAUUGUAGGACGAGAAGACCCUAUAGAGCUUUACAUUUAAUUUUUUAGUUUAACUUUGUUGAAUAAUAAAUUAUUAAGAAAUAAUUGUUUUGUUGGGGUGAUAAAUUAAUAUAAUAAACUUUUUUAUAUUAUUAACAAAUAUUUUUGAUUUAUACGAUCCAUUAUUAUUGAUUAAUAGAUUAAGUUACCUUAGGGAUAACAGCGUAAUCUUCUUUUGGAGUUCAAAUUUACAAGAAGGCUUGCGACCUCGAUGUUGGAUUAAGAUGAUAAUUUGGUGUAGUCGUUAAAUUGAUAGGUCUGUUCGACCUUUAAAAUCUUACAUGAUCUGAGUUCAGACCGG